Molecule: ribosomal RNA, 331 nt
Filed under: uncultured Actinomycetes bacterium
Lineage: Bacteria; Bacillati; Actinomycetota; Actinomycetes
Description: bacterial SSU rRNA
Rfam family: Bacterial small subunit ribosomal RNA
Source: RNAcentral
GACGAACGCUGGCGGCGUGCUUAACACAUGCAAGUCGAACGAGAUCCAUCGAGUGGCAACACUUCGUGAAGAUCGAGUGGCGAACGGGUGCGUAACACGUGAGGAACCCACCCCGAACUCUGGGAUAACAGGCGGAAACGCUUGCUAAUACCGGAUACCUCCGCCGAGUCGCAUGGCUUGGCGAAGAAAGGUCUGCCGGUUCGGGACGGUCUCGCGGCCUAUCAGCUUGUUGGUGGGUAACGGCCUACCAAGGCAUCGACGGGUAGCUGGUCUGAGAGGAUGAUCAGCCACACUGGGACUGAGACACGGCCCAGACUCCUACGGGAGGCAG